Mastomys coucha (southern multimammate mouse) is the source of this 684-nucleotide long non-coding RNA. RefSeq lists it as uncharacterized. The record is from RefSeq and is a predicted model, not a curated record. The transcript is spliced from 3 exons. Lineage: Eukaryota; Metazoa; Chordata; Mammalia; Rodentia; Muridae.
AGAACAGGGCAAAGCCCAUUCUGUGUUCUGCCCCCAGCCACAGUGGGAGGCAGGCUGUGUCCUGGCGCCACGGGAAUGUUCCAGAGUAACUGUCAACUGUAAGUCUGUAGGGCCAUACCAGGUGCAGCUACAUCAUAAGAGAUUUUCCCAAAUCCUCGGCGCCGAAAGAAGGCUUCACGACCGGAACCUGCUUGGUUGUCUCUUUUAUCCACAUUUUCAGUGACUGAGCAAGGGUUUGGAAAGCACUCAGCUGCUCCUGACAAGAACUGAGAGCGUCUUUCCUAAUGAACAAAAAUGAACCAGAAGUUAAGCUGCAAAACCAGAUGAUCCAAAAGGCCAGUUACUAACCAGCGGUCAACACUCCCAGAUCGGGCUCAACACUAGCAGCAAGAUUCAAUGCACAGAGCAACUCUUGAGUACCAGGCUGAUGUGUUCUUCCUUGGGAAAUGCUUCGAGGAGAAACAAACACUGGUAGCUAAGAUUGUCGAUGAAACGCAUGAGCUUGUCUUAACCAGUCCAGGUGCUUGGCAUUGGAACCCCUGAGGAAUACUCACCUGCAUAUGCUGAGACAGCUCUGGGACAUCCUUUCCUGGCAUGUCCACCUCAGUGAGUGCCUGGCUCUGUGUCUCUAGAAACGUCUGGAGCUUCUCUGAGAGCUUCUCAAACUGCUCUACUUUGGCCUUU